RNAcentral lists this ribosomal RNA (274 nucleotides) under uncultured bacterium. RNAcentral's name for it is "partial 16S ribosomal RNA". It matches the Rfam family "Bacterial small subunit ribosomal RNA", at positions 523 to 796 of the family's 1533-position model. The record is from RNAcentral.
AUACGGAGGGGGCUAGCGUUGUUCGGAAUUACUGGGUGUAAAGAGCGCGUAGGCGGGUCAGCAAGUCAGAUGUGAAAUUCCGGAGCUCAACUUCGGAGCUGCACUUGAAACUACUGAUCUUGAGGAUGGACGGAGAAAACGGAAUUCCACAUGUAGCGGUGAAAUGCGUAGAUAUGUGGAAGAACACCGGUGGCGAAGGCGGUUUUCUAGUUUAUUCCUGACGCUGAGGCGCGAGAGCAAGGGUAGCAAACAGGAUUAGAAACCCCAGUAGUCC